RNAcentral lists this ribosomal RNA (497 nucleotides) under uncultured bacterium. RNAcentral describes it as "partial 16S ribosomal RNA". It matches the Rfam family "Bacterial small subunit ribosomal RNA", at positions 28 to 507 of the family's 1533-position model. The record is from RNAcentral.
GAUGAACGCUGGCGGCGUGCCUAAUACAUGCAAGUCGAGCGAACAGAUGAGGAGCUUGCUCCUCUGACGUUAGCGGCGGACGGGUGAGUAACACGUGGAUAACCUACCUAUAAGACUGGGAUAACUUCGGGAAACCGGGGCUAAUACCGGAUAAUAUAUUGAACCGCAUGGUUCAAUAGUGAAAGACGGUUUUGCUGUCACUUAUAGAUGGAUCCGCGCCGCAUUAGCUAGUUGGUAAGGUAACGGCUUACCAAGGCAACGAUGCGUAGCCGACCUGAGAGGGUGAUCGGCCACACUGGAACUGAGACACGGUCCAGACUCCUACGGGAGGCAGCAGUAGGGUAUCUUCCGCAAUGGGCGAAAGCCUGACGGAGCAACGCCGCGUGAGUGAUGAAGGUCUUCGGAUCGUAAAACUCUGUUAUUAGGGAAGAACAAAUGUGUAAGUAACUAUGCACGUCUUGACGGUACCUAAUCAGAAAGCCACGGCUAACUACGUG